GACGAACGCUGGCGGCGUGCCUAAUACAUGCAAGUUGAGCGCUGAAGGUUGGUACUUGUACCGACUGGAUGAGCAGCGAACGGGUGAGUAACGCGUGGGGAAUCUGCCUUUGAGCGGGGGACAACAUUUGGAAACGAAUGCUAAUACCGCAUAAAAACUUUAAACACAAGUUUUAAGUUUGAAAGAUGCAAUUGCAUCACUCAAAGAUGAUCCCGCGUUGUAUUAGCUAGUUGGUGAGGUAAAGGCUCACCAAGGCGAUGAUACAUAGCCGACCUAAGAGGGUGAUCGGCCACAUUGGGACUGAGACACGGCCCAAACUCCUACGGGAGGCAGCAGUAGGGAAUCUUCGGCAAUGGACGAAAGUCUGACCGAGCAACGCCGCGUGAGUGAAGAAGGUUUUCGGAUCGUAAAACUCUGUUGGUAGAGAAGAACGUUGGUGAGAGUGGAAAGCUCAUCAAGUGACGGUAACUACCCAGAAAGGGACGGCUAACUACGUG
Molecule: ribosomal RNA, 497 nt
Filed under: uncultured bacterium
Lineage: Bacteria
Description: partial 16S ribosomal RNA
Rfam family: Bacterial small subunit ribosomal RNA
Source: RNAcentral